UACAGAGGUCUCAAGCGUUGUUCGGAUUUAUUGGGCGUAAAGGGUGCGUAGGCGGCGCGGUAAGUCGGGUGUGAAAUCUCGGAGCUUAACUCCGAAACUGCAUUCGAUACUGCCGUGCUUGAGGACUGGAGAGGAGACUGGAAUUUACGGUGUAGCGGUGAAAUGCGUAGAUAUCGUAAGGAAGACCAGUGGCGAAGGCGGGUCUCUGGACAGUUACUGACGCUGAGGCACGAAGGUCAGGGGAGCAAACGGG
This 253-nucleotide ribosomal RNA is filed under the name uncultured bacterium. RNAcentral's name for it is "partial 16S ribosomal RNA". It matches the Rfam family "Bacterial small subunit ribosomal RNA", at positions 524 to 776 of the family's 1533-position model. The record is from RNAcentral.